This 433-nucleotide ribosomal RNA is filed under the name uncultured bacterium. RNAcentral's name for it is "partial 16S ribosomal RNA". It matches the Rfam family "Bacterial small subunit ribosomal RNA", at positions 29 to 507 of the family's 1533-position model. The record is from RNAcentral.
AACGAACGCUGGCGGCAUGCCUAACACAUGCAAGUCGAACGAGACCUUCGGGUCUAGUGGCGCACGGGUGCGUAACGCGUGGGAACCUGCCCUUAGGUUCGGAAUAACUCCCCGAAAGGGGUGCUAAUACCGGAUAAUGUCUUCGGACCAAAGAUUUAUCGCCUUUGGAUGGGCCCGCGUUGGAUUAGCUAGUUGGUAGGGUAAAAGCCUACCAAGGCGACGAUCCAUAGCUGGUCUGAGAGGAAGAUCAGCCACACUGGGACUGAGACACGGCCCAGACUCCUACGGGAGGCAGCAGUGGGGAAUAUUGGACAAUGGGCGAAAGCCUGAUCCAGCAAUGCCGCGUGAGUGAUGAAGGCCUUAGGGUUGUAAAGCUCUUUUACCCGGGAUGAUAAUGACAGUACCGGGAGAAUAAGCUCCGGCCAACUCCGUG